GACGAACGCUGGCGGCGUGCUUAACACAUGUAAGUCGAACGGUAAGGCCCUUCGGGGUACACGAGUGGCGAACGGGUGAGUAACACGUGGGUAAUCUGCCCUGCACAUCGGGAUAAGCCUGGGAAACUGGGUCUAAUACCGAAUAGGACCACAGGACACAUGUCCUGUGGUGGAAAGCUUUUGCGGUGUGGGAUGGGCCCGCGGCCUAUCAGCUUGUUGGUGGGGUGAUGGCCUACCAAGGCGACGACGGGUAGCCGGCCUGAGAGGGUGUCCGGCCACACUGGGACUGAGAUACGGCCCAGACUCCUACGGGAGGCAGCAGUGGGGAAUAUUGCACAAUGGGCGAAAGCCUGAUGCAGCGACGCCGCGUGGGGGAUGACGGCCUUCGGGUUGUAAACCUCUUUCACCAUCGACGAAGGUCCGGGUGUUCUCGGGCUGACGGUAGGUGGAGAAGAAGCACCGGCCAACUACGUG
This 474-nucleotide ribosomal RNA is filed under the name uncultured bacterium. Its description in RNAcentral is "partial 16S ribosomal RNA". It matches the Rfam family "Bacterial small subunit ribosomal RNA", at positions 28 to 507 of the family's 1533-position model. The record is from RNAcentral.